This 506-nucleotide ribosomal RNA is filed under the name uncultured bacterium. Its description in RNAcentral is "partial 16S ribosomal RNA". It matches the Rfam family "Bacterial small subunit ribosomal RNA", at positions 29 to 523 of the family's 1533-position model. The record is from RNAcentral.
AGUGAACGCUGGCGGUAGGCCUAACAUAUGCAAGUCGAACGGCAGCACAGGAGAGCUUGCUCUCUGGGUGGCGAGUGGCGGACGGGUGAGGAAUACAUCGGAAUCUACUCUGUCGUGGGGGAUAACGUAGGGAAACUUACGCUAAUACCGCAUACGACCUACGGGUGAAAGCAGGGGACCUUCGGGCCUUGCGCGAUUGAAUGAGCCGAUGUCGGAUUAGCUAGUUGGCGGGGUAAAGGCCCACCAAGGCGACGAUCCGUAGCUGGUCUGAGAGGAUGAUCAGCCACACUGGAACUGAGCCACGGUCCAGACUCCUACGGGAGGCAGCAGUGGGGAAUAUUGGACAAUGGGCGCAAGCCUGAUCCAGCCAUACCGCGUGGGUGAAGAAGGCCUUCGGGCUGUAAAGCCCUUUUGUUGGGAAAGAAAUCCAGCUGGCUAAUACCCGGUUGGGAUGACGGUACCCAAAGAAUAAGCACCGGCUAACUUCGUGCCAGCAGCCGCGGUAA